Molecule: ribosomal RNA, 1343 nt
Filed under: uncultured bacterium
Lineage: Bacteria
Description: 16S ribosomal RNA
Rfam family: Bacterial small subunit ribosomal RNA
Source: RNAcentral
GACGAACGCUGUCGGCGUGCUUAACACAUGCAAGUCGAACGGAAAGGCCCUGCUUUUGUGGGGUGCUCGAGUGGCGAACGGGUGAGUAACACGUGAGUAACCUGCCCUUGACUUUGGGAUAACUUCAGGAAACUGGGGCUAAUACCGGAUAGGAGCUCCUGCUGCAUGGUGGGGGUUGGAAAGUUUCGGCGGUUGGGGAUGGACUCGCGGCUUAUCAGCUUGUUGGUGGGGUAGUGGCUUACCAAGGCUUUGACGGGUAGCCGGCCUGAGAGGGUGACCGGCCACAUUGGGACUGAGAUACGGCCCAGACUCCUACGGGAGGCAGCAGUGGGGAAUAUUGCACAAUGGGCGGAAGCCUGAUGCAGCAACGCCGCGUGCGGGAUGACGGCCUUCGGGUUGUAAACCGCUUUCGCCUGUGACGAAGCGUGAGUGACGGUAAUGGGUAAAGAAGCACCGGCUAACUACGUGCCAGCAGCCGCGGUGAUACGUAGGGUGCGAGCGUUGUCCGGAUUUAUUGGGCGUAAAGGGCUCGUAGGUGGUUGAUCGCGUCGGAAGUGUAAUCUUGGGGCUUAACCCUGAGCGUGCUUUCGAUACGGGUUGACUUGAGGAAGGUAGGGGAGAAUGGAAUUCCUGGUGGAGCGGUGGAAUGCGCAGAUAUCAGGUGGAACACCAGUGGCGAAGGCGGUUCUCUGGGCCUUUCCUGACGCUGAGGAGCGAAAGCGUGGGGAGCGAACAGGCUUAGAUACCCUGGUAGUCCACGCUGUAAACGGUGGGUACUAGGUGUGGGGUCCAUUCCACGGGUUCCGUGCCGUAGCUAACGCUUUAAGUACCCCGCCUGGGGAGUACGGCCGCAAGGCUAAAACUCAAAGGAAUUGACGGGGCCCCGCACAAGCGGCGGAGCAUGCGGAUUAAUUCGAUGCAACGCGUAGAACCUUACCUGGGUUUGACAGGGAUCGGGAGUGCUCAGAGAUGGGUGUGCCUCUUUUGGGGUCGGUUCACAGGUGGUGCAUGCCUGUCGUCAGCUCGUGUCGUGAGAUGUUGGGUUAAGUCCCGCAACGAGCGCAACCCUUGUUCACUGUUGCCAGCACGUUAUGGUGGGGACUCAGUGGAGACCGCCGGGGUCAACUCGGAGGAAGGUGGGGAUGACGUCAAGUCAUCAUGCCCCUUAUGUCCAGGGCUUCACGCAUGCUACAAUGGCUGGUACAGAGAGUGGCGAGCCUGUGAGGGUGAGCGAAUCUCGGAAAGCCGGUCUCAGUUCGGAUUGGGGUCUGCAACUCGACCUCAUGAAGUCGGAGUCGCUAGUAAUCGCAGAUCAGCAACGCUGCGGUGAAUACGUUCCCGGG